AGCUUUGCACAGUGGCGGUAUCAGCCAGUGAGGUCUAUCCGAGGCAUGAUUAUUGCUAAUUGAAAACUUUUCCUAAAGCAA
This 81-nucleotide small nuclear RNA is filed under the name Jaculus jaculus (lesser Egyptian jerboa). Its description in RNAcentral is "U4 spliceosomal RNA (ENSJJAG00000003973.1)". It matches the Rfam family "U4 spliceosomal RNA", at positions 1 to 83 of the family's 138-position model. From Rfam's summary of the family: U4 small nuclear RNA (U4 snRNA) is a component of the major U2-dependent spliceosome. The structure of U4 snRNA from yeast and human has been reported. Lineage: Eukaryota; Metazoa; Chordata; Mammalia; Rodentia; Dipodidae. The record is from RNAcentral.